AAUCUAACUAUUACAUUCAUAUAUUGUAAAUUGAUCAUUUUGAAUCAAAUACAAAGCUCAUACAUUUUCUUUACAUCCAUUCAUCCAAUAUACAUAUUCAUCUCUCUAAUGAAUUUAUUACAUUUUUUCAUUCAUCAACAAUAAUAGAUGAAAUACAACAGGUGGCUUUAUACACAACGGUAGUCCGCUACCUAGAGCACGAUAACCAUACUGCG
Molecule: long non-coding RNA, 215 nt
Filed under: Ananas comosus (pineapple)
Lineage: Eukaryota; Viridiplantae; Streptophyta; Magnoliopsida; Poales; Bromeliaceae
Description: long non-coding RNA (ACOM_LNC026600)
Source: RNAcentral